Molecule: non-coding RNA, 124 nt
Organism: Ordospora colligata OC4
Lineage: Eukaryota; Fungi; Microsporidia; Ordosporidae
Source: RefSeq, a predicted model, not a curated record
CUCCUGUCCUUACGCAGGAGGUCUCUAUCAAUGACGUUCACACGGAGGUAGAGCAAUUGCUAGUUUGGAAAUCCAAACCAUUGCAUUAAAUUAGUCCUAUGUCUUCCGUGACACAAGGCCAUUU